RNAcentral lists this transfer RNA (71 nucleotides) under Clathrina clathrus. Its description in RNAcentral is "tRNA-Val". The stretch from base 8 to 63 matches the Rfam family "tRNA", at positions 8 to 63 of the family's 71-position model. Rfam says of the family: Transfer RNA (tRNA) molecules are approximately 80 nucleotides in length. Their secondary structure includes four short double-helical elements and three loops (D, anti-codon, and T loops). Lineage: Eukaryota; Metazoa; Porifera; Calcarea; Clathrinida; Clathrinidae. The record is from RNAcentral.
AGGUCGUUAAUUGAAUGGUAAAAUGUUUACCUUACAGGUAAAUCACAUGGGUUCGAUUCCUGAGAAGAUUU